CCUACGGGAGGCAGCAGUGAGGAAUAUUGGUCAAUGGGCGCGAGCCUGAACCAGCCAAGUAGCGUGAAGGAUGACUGCCCUACGGGUUGUAAACUUCUUUUAUAAAGGAAUAAAGUGAGGCACGUGUGCCUUUUUGUAUGUACGUUAUGAAUAAGGAUCGGCUAACUCCGUGCCAGCAGCCGCGGUAAUACGGAGGAUCCGAGCGUUAUCCGGAUUUAUUGGGGUGAAAGGGAGCGUAGAUGGGUUGUUAAGUCAGUUGUGCAAGUUUGCGGCUCAACCGUAAAAUUGCAAUUGAUACUGGCAUUCUUUCUUACAGUUGCGGUAGGCGGCCUUCGUGUUGUAGCG
Molecule: ribosomal RNA, 345 nt
Filed under: uncultured bacterium
Lineage: Bacteria
Description: partial 16S ribosomal RNA
Rfam family: Bacterial small subunit ribosomal RNA
Source: RNAcentral